This 454-nucleotide ribosomal RNA is filed under the name uncultured bacterium. RNAcentral describes it as "partial 16S ribosomal RNA". It matches the Rfam family "Bacterial small subunit ribosomal RNA", at positions 28 to 507 of the family's 1533-position model. The record is from RNAcentral.
GAUGAACGCUGACAGAAUGCUUAACACAUGCAAGUCAACUUGAACUUCGGUUUGGGUGGCGGACGGGUGAGUAACGCGUAAAGAACUUGCCUCACAGAUAGGGACAACAUUUGGAAACGAAUGCUAAUACCUGAUAUUAUGAUUAUAUGGCAUCGUAUAAUUAUGAAAGCUAUAUGCGCUGUGAGAGAGCUUUGCGUCCCAUUAGCUAGUUGGAGAGGUAACGGCUCACCAAGGCGAUGAUGGGUAGCCGGCCUGAGAGGGUGAUCGGCCACAAGGGGACUGGGACACGGCCCUUACUCCUACGGGAGGCAGCAGUGGGGAAUAUUGGACAAUGGACCAAGAGUCUGAUCCAGCAAUUCUGUGUGCACGAUGAAGUUUUUCGGAAUGUAAAGUGCUUUCAGUUGGGAAGAAAAAAAUGACGGUACCAACAGAAGAAGUGACGGCUAAAUACGUG